UGGGCUGCAGGGGGACAGCCUGCUCCACCAGGGGCCUCUCCACAGGCCGCAGGGGAACUGCUGCUGCGUGCCUGGAGCACCUCCUGCCCUCCUGCUGCACUCACCUGGGGGGCUGCAGGGAUGGUUCUCACUCCUCUCUCCCAGCCGCUGUUGCACAGCAGAUUUUUUUCCCUUUCUUAAAACUGCUCUGCCAGAGGUGCAAAGAACAUCGCUUAUUAGUUUGGCUACGGACAGCAGUGGGUCCCUUUUGGAGCCAGCUGAAACUGGCCCUUAUCUAACAUGGGGCAGCUUCUGGACUCUUCUCACAGAGGCCACCCCUGCAUCCUCGUGCUACCAAAACCUUGCCACAUAAACCCACUACAUAUGCACAAGUUGUUACAGGGUAGUAUGAAACAGAUUCCUUGUUUCAGAUCCUUUAAAUAAGUCUGGGAGUUCUCACAUACUUCAUGAAUCAAGGCUUAGCUUGAUGUUGUGAAUAGAAAUUUGUCCAAAAUCUGUGUUUUAUCUUCAUUUGAGGUGUACUUGGGUAUGUCAGUCCUCAGUUUGUUUGUAAAAUAAGUUUUUAGAGGUAAAGCCAUUAAUGUCAUUGAGGACAUUUCCCCAUGCACACCAUCCCACAGAGCAAGAGAGAAACUUGAUGAAUAGUGAAUGUCUGGGAACAUGGAACCUAGUGUACCAGGAACACUGGAAAGCAAAGGAGUUGGAGCAAAUUGGGAAAAAGGCACCACUGCUAUUAAAAAACACAGACUUGAGCAAAGAGAAGCAGUGAUAACCAGUGGAUUAUCUGCACUGGCAUCAUCUUAAACAGUAAAUGCUUUUCCGCAACCUCCAAGGGAAAACAGUCAUUUUAAUGCUUUUGCAGCUCUUUGUGACUCCAUGCAAUGACAAGGUGGAAUGUGCCUGCUUUCCAAUUUCUGAGAUGCUGAGAUGCCCGCUUAAACUCAUCAGAGUAUUGGAUUCUCUUCUGAACUUUGUAUCCAAACUUAUAAAUGAUUGUAGAGACUUCUUCCAUUAGAACUGCGACUAAGAAGCAGGCUGGAAUUCAAUUCUCCCCAAGAAAGUUUGUUUUCCUAGAAAUUACAUUUUGAAAUACCAAAACAGUGAAAUAUUGAAAUAGUAAUUUAUUGGACAUGUUUA
This 1137-nucleotide long non-coding RNA is filed under the name Anser brachyrhynchus (Pink-footed goose). RNAcentral's name for it is "lncRNA (ENSABRG00000000793.1)". Lineage: Eukaryota; Metazoa; Chordata; Aves; Anseriformes; Anatidae. The record is from RNAcentral.